This 253-nucleotide ribosomal RNA is filed under the name uncultured bacterium. Its description in RNAcentral is "partial 16S ribosomal RNA". It matches the Rfam family "Bacterial small subunit ribosomal RNA", at positions 524 to 776 of the family's 1533-position model. The record is from RNAcentral.
UACGUAGGGGGCAAGCGUUGUCCGGAAUCAUUGGGCGUAAAGAGCGUGUAGGCGGUCCGGUAAGUCGGCUGUGAAAGUCCAGGGCUCAACCCUGGGAUGCCGGUCGAUACUGCCGGACUAGAGUUCGGAAGAGGCGAGUGGAAUUCCCGGUGUAGCGGUGAAAUGCGCAGAUAUCGGGAGGAACACCUAUGGCGAAGGCAGCUCGCUGGGACGUUACUAACGCUGAGACGCGAAAGCGUGGGGAGCAAACAGG